AGAUGUUGGGUUAAGUCCCGUAACGAGCGCAACCCUUGUCCUUAGUUACCAGCACGUUAUGGUGGGCACUCUAAGGAGACUGCCGGCGACAAACCGGAGGAAGGUGGGGAGUGACGUCAAGUCAUCAUGGCCCUUACGGCCUGGGCUACACACGUGCUACAAUGGUCGGUACAAAGGGCAGCUACCUGGUGACAGGAUGCUAAUCUCAAAAGCCGGUCUCAGUUCGGAUCGGAGUCUGCAACUCGACUCCAUGAAGUUGGAAUCGCUAGUAAUCGUGGAUCAGCAUGCCACGGUGAAUACGUUCCCGGGCCGUU
RNAcentral lists this ribosomal RNA (314 nucleotides) under uncultured Gammaproteobacteria bacterium. RNAcentral's name for it is "bacterial SSU rRNA". It matches the Rfam family "Bacterial small subunit ribosomal RNA", at positions 1070 to 1382 of the family's 1533-position model. Lineage: Bacteria; Pseudomonadati; Pseudomonadota; Gammaproteobacteria. The record is from RNAcentral.